This 561-nucleotide ribosomal RNA is filed under the name Streptosporangium sp. 418G04. RNAcentral's name for it is "bacterial SSU rRNA". It matches the Rfam family "Bacterial small subunit ribosomal RNA", at positions 93 to 671 of the family's 1533-position model. The record is from RNAcentral. Lineage: Bacteria; Bacillati; Actinomycetota; Actinomycetes; Streptosporangiales; Streptosporangiaceae.
GAGCGGCGAACGGGUGAGUAACACGUGAGUAACCUGCCCUCAACUUCGGGAUAAGCCUGGGAAACCGGGUCUAAUACCGGGUAGGACCUGGUGCGGCAUCGCGCUGGGUGGAAAGUUUUUUCGGUUGGGGAUGGGCUCGCGGCCUAUCAGCUUGUUGGUGGGGUAGUGGCCUACCAAGGCGACGACGGGUAGCCGGCCUGAGAGGGCGACCGGCCACACUGGGACUGAGACACGGCCCAGACUCCUACGGGAGGCAGCAGUGGGGAAUAUUGCGCAAUGGGCGGAAGCCUGACGCAGCGACGCCGCGUGGGGGAUGACGGCCUUCGGGUUGUAAACCUCUUUCAGCAGGGACGAACUUAGACGUGUACCUGUAGAAGAAGCGCCGGCUAACUACGUGCCAGCAGCCGCGGUAAUACGUAGGGCGCGAGCGUUGUCCGGAAUUAUUGGGCGUAAAGAGCUCGUAGGUGGCUUGUCGCGUCUGCCGUGAAAGCCCAUGGCUUAACUGUGGGUCUGCGGUGGAUACGGGCUGGCUAGAGGUAGGUAGGGGCAAGCGGAAUUCCU